This 342-nucleotide RNase P RNA is filed under the name human gut metagenome. Its description in RNAcentral is "Bacterial RNase P class B". It matches the Rfam family "Bacterial RNase P class B". Rfam says of the family: Ribonuclease P (RNase P) is a ubiquitous endoribonuclease, found in archaea, bacteria and eukarya as well as chloroplasts and mitochondria. Its best characterised activity is the generation of mature 5'-ends of tRNAs by cleaving the 5'-leader elements of precursor-tRNAs. Cellular RNase Ps are ribonucleoproteins. The record is from RNAcentral.
UUGACAAACGCUGCAUUUUUAUAAUGUAGAGGAAAGUCCAUGCUCGCACAAUCUGAGAUGAUUGUAGUGUUCGUGCAAGAGGAAAAAAUAACUCUUGGUAGGUAGUAUAACCUAACGGCGUCUUAAAAUACCUACGUCAUAUGAUAUGGUAUGAGUGGAUGUAAAGUGCCAAAGUGACGAAGAAUCUAGAAAUAGAGGAAGUGGAACGUGGUAAACCCCGCGAGCGAGAAACCCAAAUUUUGGUAGGGGAGCUUGAUUACUGGAAAUUGAACCAGUAACAGGAUUGAGUAAUCAAUAGAUAAAUGUUUGUCACCUUUUUAAGGUACAGAACAUGGCUUAUAA